UAGGGAAUCUUCCACAAUGGACAAAGUCUGAUGGAGCAACGCCGCGUGAGUGAAGAAGGGUUUCGGCUCGUAAAACUCUGUUGUUAAAGAAGAACAUAUCUGAGAGUAACUGUUCAGGUAUUGACGGUUAUUUAACCAGAAGCCGCGCUAACUACGCGCCAG
This 162-nucleotide ribosomal RNA is filed under the name uncultured bacterium. RNAcentral's name for it is "partial 16S ribosomal RNA". It matches the Rfam family "Bacterial small subunit ribosomal RNA", at positions 355 to 511 of the family's 1533-position model. The record is from RNAcentral.